UAGGGAAUCUUCGGCAAUGGACGAAAGUCUGACCGAGCAACGCCGCGUGAGUGAAGAAGGUUUUCGGAUCGUAAAACUCUGUUGUUAGAGAAGAACAAGGACGUUAGUAACUGAACGUCCCCUGACGGUAUCUAACCAGAAAGCCACGGCUAACUACGUGCCAGCAGCCGCGGUAAUACGUAGGUGGCAAGCGUUGUCCGGAUUUAUUGGGCGUAAAGCGAGCGCAGGUGGUUUCUUAAGUCUGAUGUGAAAGCCCCCGGCUCAACCGGGGAGGGUCAUUGGAAACUGGGAGACUUGAGUGCAGAAGAGGAGAGUGGAAUUCCAUGUGUAGCGGUGAAAUGCGUAGAUAUAUGGAGGAACACCAGUGGCGAAGGCGGCUCUCUGGUCUGUAACUGACGCUGAGGCUCGAAAGCGUGGGGAGCAAACAGG
Molecule: ribosomal RNA, 429 nt
Filed under: Gemmatimonadota bacterium
Lineage: Bacteria; Pseudomonadati; Gemmatimonadota
Description: Gemmatimonadetes bacterium partial 16S ribosomal RNA
Rfam family: Bacterial small subunit ribosomal RNA
Source: RNAcentral